AGCGGGGUAGGGCAGUCAGGAGUGCCCGGCGGGCUCAUAACCCGCAGGUCGGUGGUUCAAAUCCAUCCCCCGCUA
Molecule: non-coding RNA, 75 nt
Organism: Candidatus Woesearchaeota archaeon CG1_02_57_44
Lineage: Archaea; Nanobdellati; Candidatus Woesearchaeota
Source: Rfam